Molecule: ribosomal RNA, 380 nt
Filed under: uncultured bacterium
Lineage: Bacteria
Description: bacterial SSU rRNA
Rfam family: Bacterial small subunit ribosomal RNA
Source: RNAcentral
GACGAACGCUGGCGGCGUGCUUAACACAUGCAAGUGGAGCGACGAACCAGGGCUUGCCCUGGGGCAGAGCCGCGAACGGGUGAGUAACACGUGGGUUACCUGCCCCGAUGAUUGGGACAACCCGAGGAAACUCGGGCUAAUACCAAAUGUGCUCCUGGCCAUAAUGGCCUUGAGGAAAGGAAGCUUCGGCCUCCGCAUCGGGAUGGGCCCGCGGCCCAUUAGCUAGUUGGUGGGGUAACGGCCUACCAAGGCGACGAUGGGUAGCUGGUCUGAGAGGACGAUCAGCCACACUGGGACUGAGACACGGCCCAGACUCCUACGGGAGGCAGCAGUGGGGAAUCUUGCGCAAUGCGCGAAAGCGUGACGCAGCAACGCCGCGU